This is a non-coding RNA of Punica granatum (pomegranate), 626 nucleotides long. NCBI's taxonomy places the organism in Eukaryota, Viridiplantae, Streptophyta, Magnoliopsida, Myrtales, Lythraceae. The record is from RefSeq and is a predicted model, not a curated record.
UUCAUUUCGCCUCUCUCUCAAGUCUCGAUGCCUCUGUCCGUCUGUCAUACGACUCAUAUCCAGCAACCCAGACCUAGGAACUUUCCUUGUCCGCCUCUCUCAAACCCUCAUACGAUUGCUGACCUUUCUCGACGGUGGUUGAAGUAGAGGGAUAAUGAGUUUAGAAAAUAAUUUAGAGGUGAAGUUGGAAUCCUCUGGGAAGAACCCAUGGCCAUGAUAAACGAAGAUGAUGAUGUAGUGGAGCUCGAUGGAGACGAGAUCAACGACACUGCAAUAGGAACUCACACAUGGACAUCGAAAGGAAAGCAAAAGAGAAGGCUAACCUCACCCGUGUGACACUUUUAUGAAUAGUUGACAGAAAAGACCAUUGAUGGUAAGACUCAUUGUAAGUGCAAUAAGUGUGGCUCGCUUUUUGUUUGUGAUAGUCAAUAUGGGAUAGGAAAUCUGAAAAGGCAUAGUGGAAGAUGCAUUCGUAAGGAUACACGAGAUGUUGGUUAGAUGCUCAUGAACCAUGAUAUUUCUUUGAAAAAUGCUACAUUUGAUCCUGAAGGUUUUUGUGAAUUGUUGAUUGCCAUUAUUAUGACCUGCCUCUCGUCUUUGUGGAGUAUGCUGGAAUUAUAGCAAUA